Long non-coding RNA from Aethalodelphis obliquidens (Pacific white-sided dolphin), 1211 nucleotides. RefSeq lists it as uncharacterized. The record is from RefSeq and is a predicted model, not a curated record. NCBI's taxonomy places the organism in Eukaryota, Metazoa, Chordata, Mammalia, Artiodactyla, Delphinidae. The transcript is spliced from 2 exons.
UAUAUAUAUGUAUAUAAUCUGAAUCACUUUGCUGUACAGCAGAAAUUAACACAACAUUGUAAACGAACUAUACUUCAAUUCAAAAAAGAAGAGAACUUCCUAAACCAAACAUAACUAGCAAAUAACCAUAACAUCACAUGAUGAAAUAUUGAAGCAUUUCUUUUAAAGAUAGGAACAAAACAUGUAUGACUGUUAUGCCCAUUUCUUUUCAACACUGUACCAGAAGUUUUAGCCAGAAGAGUAAAACAUGACAGAUAAAUAAAAUGUCUAAUGAUCAGAAAGGAAGUAACAAAGUAUUGUAGAUGACAUGAUUGUCUAUACUGAAAAUUAAAAUGAUCAAUAAGGUAGAGAUACAUAUUAACUUUUCAAGUAAGUCAACUGCACUCUUUAUAUCAGAAAUAAACAGUUAAAUGACCAUUAACUAACAAGAGAAUAGACGGUCAUUCCACAAAAGUCUAUAGAGCAGUUUAAAAUUAAUGACUUAGAAAUAUUUUUGUCAUUAGAGAUAACCCUGAAAAUAUGUAAUGUUGAAUAAAAACAAGUUACAGAAGGAUGCAUACAGUUUGAUUUCACUCGUGGUUUAGAAAUACAAUCCUAUGUAGAAAAAGUAAAAAUUAUAGAUGUGAUAAACACCAAAUUAAGAAUACUGAUUACUUUUUAAUGUGGGAUAAAACAGUGGUAGAACAUUAAUUAUAUGGGAUUUUAUAUUAGUAUCUGUAAGGUUUUAUUUCUUAAGUUGGAUUGUGCACACAUGUGCAUAGUUCAAAUUAGUACGUUGUGUUAUAGUUUUCUUCUCCCUUGCAGUUGUGUCCUUGAAGGUGGGAGAGGGGGUAAUUAUGAAGUUAGCUGAAGUGUUUUGAUUCUCAUUUCAUUUUCUUGACUUUUCAAUGAGGUCCUCUCUGAUCACCUAAUCUAAAAUUUCAUCAUGGCCCUCAAGUUUUCUCAUCUACAUUUUUUUUCUUUUACCACUUAUUACUAUCAUGUGUUUUUCACUUAUUUACCUCGUUUAUUGCCUGUCAACCCUUCCAAAGAAUGCACUCCAAAAGGGUUGGGACUUGUGUGGGGUUAUUUUUCAUUGUUCAUUAUUGUAUCCCCACCACUAAAUCAAUGUUUGGCACAUAGAAGUUUCUUGAUAAAUACUUGUUGCAUAAAUAAAUAUCUGAACAAUUCAUUAAACAGGUUUAUUUGAAUAAAAAUAUCUUGCCCUUUGA